UGGCUCAGAUGGUAGAGCAUGACACUUGCAAUGCUAGGGUUGUGGGUUCAAUUCCCAU
Molecule: non-coding RNA, 58 nt
Organism: Salmo salar (Atlantic salmon)
Lineage: Eukaryota; Metazoa; Chordata; Actinopteri; Salmoniformes; Salmonidae
Source: Rfam